AUGAAGGAGGAGAAAGAAACAAUAGUAACGUGGUCCCGGGCAUCUAGCAUUCUACCCACAAUGGUUGGCCAUACAAUCGCGAUUCAUAAUGGAAAGGAACAUAUACCUAUUUACAUAACAAAUCCUAUGGUAGGUCGCAAAUUGGGGGAAUUCGUGCCUACUCGGCAUUUCACAAGCAAUGUGACUAAUGAGUUAGUUGCGGGAUGA
Molecule: ribosomal RNA, 207 nt
Filed under: Triticum aestivum (bread wheat)
Lineage: Eukaryota; Viridiplantae; Streptophyta; Magnoliopsida; Poales; Poaceae
Description: partial small subunit ribosomal RNA
Source: RNAcentral